GAUGAACGCUGGCGGCGUGCCUAAUACAUGCAAGUCGAGCGAACAGACGAGGAGCUUGCUCCUCUGACGUUAGCGGCGGACGGGUGAGUAACACGUGGAUAACCUACCUAUAAGACUGGGAUAACUUCGGGAAACCGGAGCUAAUACCGGAUAAUAUAUUGAACCGCAUGGUUCAAUAGUGAAAGACGGUUUUGCUGUCACUUAUAGAUGGAUCCGCGCCGCAUUAGCUAGUUGGUAAGGUAACGGCUUACCAAGGCGACGAUGCGUAGCCGACCUGAGAGGGUGAUCGGCCACACUGGAACUGAGACACGGUCCAGACUCCUACGGGAGGCAGCAGUAGGGAAUCUUCCGCAAUGGGCGAAAGCCUGACGGAGCAACGCCACGUGAGUGAUGAAGGUCUUCGGAUCGUAAAACUCUGUUAUUAGGGAAAAACAAAUGUGUAAGUAACUAUGCACGUCUUGACGGUACCUAAUCAGAAAGCCACGGCUAACUACGUG
RNAcentral lists this ribosomal RNA (497 nucleotides) under uncultured bacterium. Its description in RNAcentral is "partial 16S ribosomal RNA". It matches the Rfam family "Bacterial small subunit ribosomal RNA", at positions 28 to 507 of the family's 1533-position model. The record is from RNAcentral.